This 23-nucleotide small nuclear RNA is filed under the name Arabidopsis thaliana (thale cress). RNAcentral's name for it is "snRNA_06090". Lineage: Eukaryota; Viridiplantae; Streptophyta; Magnoliopsida; Brassicales; Brassicaceae. The record is from RNAcentral.
ACUAUCCAACAAGAAUCUCUACA